Molecule: long non-coding RNA, 2664 nt
Organism: Oncorhynchus tshawytscha (Chinook salmon)
Lineage: Eukaryota; Metazoa; Chordata; Actinopteri; Salmoniformes; Salmonidae
Source: Ensembl
GAAAAUGAUGCAGUAGCUAAACUGUUUCAGUUGAUAAUUAUUGUUAUUAUUAUUAUUUUUUUAACAAAUUCUGCUAAUAAUAAUAAUAAUAUCUCUGUUGAUUUGAACCAGCGAUGAUGAGUUGCCGUCGUCAUUUGAUACUCUGCGUCCUCUUAUUGCUAUUUGAUGAAGGGUCACUGAGGUACAUCCCAUUCCCAGCAACACCCCUCAUCCCUGCUGCCUACACAUUGGAGCCACAGGGAGACCUCUCAACAAGCCAAGAUGUCCUCCCUCCUUCCCCAUCAAAUCUUCUGAACCAAAUUCACCACAAUCCUACACCAGCAUUCAAAGAUCAGCACAACACACCAUCCCAUCAAGAUAUUAUUAAUCUAUCUGGAUUUUCAACCAUUAGCAAUACUGACCACUUUGACUCAAUAUCCACAACUUCUCCAAGUGGUGGUCUCAAAUUCAAUGCCAGCCGGAAUGCCAGUCAACUUUUCAAUGAUCGAACAUCAUCAUCAUCAGCUCACGAUAUUGGCUACACUGAACGGAUAGACAACGAAACUAAAAUGGCGACCGCUAGUGGUUGGAAUAACAGCAGUAAUGUUACACCUUCCUCUUCUUCUGUUGUUUCUUAUUCUGAGCUAAACAACUCUCUUGUUGGAACCAACAUUAGCCAGAGCAAUGCUAGUGGCCACACUGAAGAUCUCUCUGUGACUUUGGAGGACUGUCCUCAUCCGAAUGGAUCUGUGGUGGUGCUGGAAACAAGUGAUCCGUUAGCCGAUCACGUUGAUCCUAUGUCAGCCCCUGACAUCAUUGACUUCUACACUCAUCGGAUAGAUUCUGUCUCGGUCACCGAUGACCUUGGCAACACUAGUCUUAGUUUACAUCGUAACAACACUAACGUUACUGUCACAGUAGAUACUAGUGCAAUAGUUACUGAGACGGCAGCGCAGGCUGAACCGAACACAGACUUGAUGCUGGGCCUGGAGGAGGAGGAAGAGCGGGAAGAAGAGGAGGAGGUAGAGCGGGAAGAAGAGGAGGAGGUAGAGUGGGAAGAAGAGGAGGAAGAAGCCAGUGGCCAUCUUAAUACUACUCAGGAUGCUUCACUCUCAGACCCCCUGAUCGACAAUAUUAAUCAUGCUUAUGUGAUAACAGGUGACUAUAAUGUUAGCGCUGAGGCUAAUGGCUCUGUGAUAACAGGUCACUAUAAUGUUAGUGCUGAGGCUAAUGGCUCUGUGAUAACAGGUCACUAUAAUGUUAGCGCUGAGGCCAACUACUCAUCCUCAGUUGCUAUUAGUGGCUUCAGCGACAAAUUGUACUUUAUAAAAGAAGAAGCUCACAAUGAAAGUCAGGAAGCCGUUACCCUUUCCUCUUCCGCCAUUGGCUACACUGAAUAUGAAGAUUCCAUCGAAGCGACCAAUGACUACCAGAGUACUGUUACCAGCGGAGACGAAGGAACAUCACCUACGGUUACUAGUACCAGCGUGGAGCAGAGUGGCGAGAAUGAGAACCAGGAAGUGCUUCCUAUUGCGGCUCCUAUGAUUGGGUAUCCUUCCUUGGAGUCUGUGGAUCCUAAUGAAAGCACCACAAAGUCAACUGUUGUGCUGAACUACAUUGACUAUAUUGAUUCUGAACCUAGUUACUCUAACCACUAUAUGAAUGUAGCCAGCAGUGAAAAAUAUGCCCACUCUUCAUCCUCCACCUCUCCUCUUGAACCUGACAGUGACCACCUCCAAUCUGCUGAUGAUGCUGAACUAGAGGUACUAGGCUCUGGGUUGGAGGAAGAGGAGGAGAAUAGGAGCGGAGAGAACAAUUGUAGCAGCUGUAGCUGUGAUAACACCACCUCCAGUGCCAGUCACCAUCCCACCACCACCAUUGACAACACUGACUAUGAUUGGGGCUCGGCUGAAGUCAGUACGACAGGUAACCAGGGUAACAGCACAGCAGACAUUGAAGUCCCAACUGAAGUUAGUAGGAUUGUUCAGGGAAACAGCAGCAGCAUCUCCAUGGUACCUUCUGCUGAAAGCACAGUCAGCUCUGUCCAUGGUAACUACACAGUCAUUGUUCUAUCUGACUACAGUGACAACAUCACCACCACUACUCUGACCCCCACCAACCGUACCAGCGAAAGGAUUGUUGUGAGUACCACCCCCACCGCCGUGCUUGAGGAACCCACAGGAGAGAGCCGAUGUGGGACUGCAUGUUCUCCCAGCAAGGCCCUACCCUCCACCACCAGCAGUCUGGAAGCCAAAGAGGAAGAGAAGGACCAGAAAGCGUCUGAUGCUGCAAAGAAGCCCGUGUCAUUGUGGAACAGGGGCCGCUCGUUGUGGCCUCGGUUUCCAUGGAUGCGCAGGUAUUAGAACUACGGAUCUCUGGGACCGGGAAAUUUUGAGGGGAACCAAAUCUGAGGGGAACAUUUUUUGAGGGGAAUAUUUUUUGAGGGGGAACAGUUCUGAGGGGAUUAAUGAAAGAUAAGAGAUAUUAAUAUUUGUAUUGUUUUUUUUAGAUGUUGACAUGGAUGCAGUAGUUUGGGGGUUUAAUGUUCGUGCAUGUCCACUAUGUUGUUGUACACUACAAUAUGUAUAUUUUAAAUAAAUAGUCCUCAAUAGUGUUGUGUUGGUCUUUGUCUGAACUGUGUUGUGCAGCAUGCCUGCUGCUCCCAUUGAUUAAACAGAACAAGCA